GCGGGUGUAAUUCAACGGCAGAAUGACAGCUUCCCAAGCUGUAUAUGGCGGUUCAAUUCCGCUCACCCGCU
This 71-nucleotide transfer RNA is filed under the name Pseudomonadota bacterium. RNAcentral describes it as "tRNA-Gly". It matches the Rfam family "tRNA". From Rfam's summary of the family: Transfer RNA (tRNA) molecules are approximately 80 nucleotides in length. Their secondary structure includes four short double-helical elements and three loops (D, anti-codon, and T loops). The record is from RNAcentral. RNAcentral also lists the same sequence under 1 other name. Lineage: Bacteria; Pseudomonadati; Pseudomonadota.